Molecule: long non-coding RNA, 3070 nt
Organism: Chelmon rostratus (copperband butterflyfish)
Lineage: Eukaryota; Metazoa; Chordata; Actinopteri; Chaetodontiformes; Chaetodontidae
Exons: 3
Source: RefSeq, a predicted model, not a curated record
UAUUAAAACAAAGCAAGACAAUUCCCCAUAAUAUUUAUAAUGGUUCAACUAUCUGAAGACAGCGAUGCAAAUCUGUAUCUUGACCCCUGAAAGCAUUUUGCUUCCUGACUCAUUAUGAAGAUCCAUUCCAGUCUGGAAAAGGGCGGCUGCGAUGGAACGCACUGCAUAGCAACCGAUUUAUAUCUGUGCAUAUGUAGCCCUUCCACCAUCAGCUCGUGAAAUGUGAAACCCUCUGCAUUACACUAAAAAAAGCAUUAAGGGUCUUCAAACUCAAAUGUAUAAUCAUAAGGUGAAAGAGACAUCUCAUUGUAAAGAAACUGUCUAGGGAAAAAUAUGACUCUCACUGUCUGGGAUAUAUAUUUAGAGGCUAACAGGCAUAUAUCUGGUUUUUAAACCUUACAAUUAAUGUUAACACAAAUACACAGACCAGUUUCUGAAUAAACAGGAGACAAAACCACACAAGCCCUGAAUCUCAGUUUAGAGUUUGUAUUAACAAGAUUUAAACACAAAUGCAAAAGUGGAAAAUAAAAAAUAAAAUACCUGGGGGGGUUUAGUAAAUGGUCUGUCUUUUCUGAGUGCACUCUUUGGUUAAGUUAGUUUUAGCAAGCUUGCAUUUUUGGAUUGUUGGCGCGCUUUAAAGUUGGAGCUCGUGCAGGACAACAGUACCUCCGCGCGGGGAAUAGAAACAGCUCCUACCACAAGGGGGAAUCCUCCUCUGUCUUCUCCGUCCGCAGCAGCGAUGAGCAGCGAUGAACAGCAGCCUCCCUAACCAGCGAGAAAAGUCGUCCCUCUGUCCUUGACACACGAAGCACGACGACCGCUGAAGCCCCUCCGCUCCGGCAGCCUCCUCCGACGUCCGUGCGGGAAAAGGAAUCCGAGGAAUGCGGUGACAUCUAUCCCACUAGCAGCGACGGCUAAGAUAGCUCCGCUAGCUCACUACGCAGCAAAACUGGACACGCUCUGUCGACAACUCACAGUCCGUCACUCUAAAUUAAGAGCCAACUGGCAAACAGAAAAAAUAUAAACACGGAUAGUCUGUGUCCUCACUCGCUUGUCUGUCUCUCCACUUUACGCCAUUCCUCUCCCCUCUCUCCUUCGUCUCUCGUUUCACUCAAUUAUUUCUGCCCGCGUUCUGGGUUAAGUCCCGCCCCUUCCCUUAAUCCGAUAGGUUACCAAAAUUAUCUGGACUUGACACUGAUUGCCAUCUGACUAACCAAUUGGCAACACCGAACAGGACCUGACAAGUUCAAGGUCUACCCAAACCCGUGGGAUAUUUCAACACUUAACCAAAAUACACAUUUCUUCUUAUUUAUGGCAAAAAUUAACCCAAACAAUCCAUAACUUAGCAGAACUACAGUAUAAAGACUGAACUGAAUUAACAUAUUUAAGAACACAAUAUGUAAACAAAAAAUUAGCAGGGCACUACACAUAUUUCUGUCACAUCGGAACAAAUCGGUUUGUAUAUCUGUGAUCUCACUGCUUCCUCCUUGAUGCUCGCUGUUUAAAAGCUGCCGCCCUCACAGAGAAACCAACAGUGAAGAGCAGGAUCACUUGGUUUCAAGUUCUUUCACCUCUCAAGAUGUCGGCAGACGUUCAAGCACCAGAGUCGAGUCUGAGCGUGAGAUACAGCAGAGGAGAAGAAGAGGAGCUCCAGGUGGAGAUCUACGCGAGUGACGACAUGUUGAACAGCAGACAUACUGGUCUCUGGUCCCAUAAAGUCAGAGCUCUCGGUGAAGCCAGCUGCCUCCCGGCGGUCCACAGAAGCCGUUUCACCGCUGCCGGCGUCGUGGGAGCGCUGUGUCUGCUGAUAAUGGCGGGGAUCUUCACGCGCUGUGAAAAGCUUUUGUUUCGUUCUUCUUCCUCGUGUUGUUCUCUGACAGUUUGGUGACCGUGUGAUGCUCUAUGCUUGCCUGUGUGGUGUCUCAUGUGGUUGAAGCACGAUUACCAGAAAAGCAGCCUGAGUGAUCCCUCCACUGUUACAGCUGCUGAACACCGCAGGAAAAGCUUCUCCAGCGGUUCACUUGGCUUACUUUCAUUAAAUCACGUCCAAAUGACGCCAGGCUGCGACCAAAUAACCACACUCACACUGUUACACAUGUCAGAGUGGAGUGAUUUCUUUUAACAGAUGAGGUAUUGACAUGUUUUAUACUUAAAUUGAGACAUAAUUAUCAUUCAAAAAGCAGCGUUGGGUUGAAGCGAUCACAUGAGCGGCUCUACCAACAUGUUUUUCUAUCAUACCUGUUAAAACACACACCGUCUGUCUCUGGCUGCAGGUCUGAAUUCAUGUCAGACAGCAACAUGACUUCCUGGAAAUGUCUCUCUACAUUUUUUUUAGCUGUUUUUCAUCAGCUUUUCCUUUUGUUUCUGCUCUCACCAGAUGUUUUAGCUACGCUGGAUAAGCAAACCUUGAUGACAGAAAGAGACAAGCUCAACAGAGAUCUGGACCAGGCACAAACCAGAAUCUUCAGCCUCACCACAGAGACACAGAGGCUACAGACCAGGUUAAAGCACCUGCACAUACUUUACACCCGGCUGCAGGGUGAAUGGAGCAGGCUGAGCUUGAAGGAACAGGCCAUUCCCACCCCGCUGUUCUUUGCAGUGCCCGAGCCCUGCGGCACAUGCUGCGACUGAAGCCGUCGGCGCUCUGCUCACGCUCACGCUGCUCGCCUGCAGCGACGCCGUCACCAGCCGCCACCGCCGCCACUGCUGACGUACAGAAUCUCAAAAGGCGAACACCUGAGUCUAUAGCCCUGUCCUCUGAGGGGAAAGCCAAUCAAUCAAAUAAAAAUCCAUUUCACAUGAGCUGGCAGACUGUAAUGACAUAAAGCUUCAAUGCAUUUUGAUUUCAGCAAUAUACAACUGGCUUGCACAACGUCUGUCAACAGAACAACAAAUCUCGUUGUUCUUACUCAGCAAAUGAGCUCAACUGAAGAGACAAACACUCAGCAAAGCCACUUUAAACAUGCAGGAUAAAAACAUGCUGUCAGAGGAGGCUGUUUCAGAGCCGCUGCAGGGUUUAAUCCUCUGAUAUCGAACAAAAUCUUCAUUUGCUACAGAGAGUGAUUUUUUU